Molecule: ribosomal RNA, 1132 nt
Filed under: uncultured gold mine bacterium D51
Lineage: Bacteria
Description: bacterial SSU rRNA
Rfam family: Bacterial small subunit ribosomal RNA
Source: RNAcentral
AGAGUUUGAUCCUGGCUCAGGAUGAACGCUGGCGGCGUGCCUAAUACAUGCAAGUCGAGCGGAAAGGUUCUGCACUUAUUAUUUGAACGGAUCAGUCUGUCAUAAAAAGCGGAUACUGUCUGAAAACGUCUUCGUUGGCUAAUGAAGAGGGUCGAAUAAUGGGUGUAGAAUACUCGAGCGGCGGACGGGUGAGUAACGCGUAGGAAUGUACCCCAAAGUGAGGGAUAAGCACCGGAAACGGUGUCUAAUACCGCAUAGUCUCCACGGAGUAAAGCUUUAUGCGCUUUGGGAACAGCCUGCGUCUGAUUAGCUAGUUGGUAAGGUAACGGCUUACCAAGGCGACGAUCAGUAGCUGGUUUGAGGGGAUGAUCAGCCACACUGGAACUGAGACACGGUCCAGACUCCUACGGGAGGCAGCAGUAGGGAAUUUUCCACAAUGGGCGAAAGCCUGAUGGAGCAACGCCGCGUGCAGGAUGAAGGCCUUAGGGUUGUAAACUGCUUUUAUAUGUGACGAUUUUGACGGUAGCAUAUGAAUAAGGAUCGGCUAACUCCGUGCCAGCAGCCGCGGUCAUACGGAGGAUCCAAGCGUUAUCCGGAAUUACUGGGCGUAAAGAGUUGCGUAGGUGGCUAUGUAAGCAGGGUAUGAAAGCGUGUGGCUCAACCAUACAGCUAUGUCCUGAACUGCAUUGGCUAGAGAACGAGAGAGGUAGAUGGAAUUGCUAGUGUAGGAGUGAAAUCCGUAGAUAUUAGCAGGAACACCGAUGGCGUAGGCAGUCUACUGGCUCGUUUCUGACACUAAGGCACGAAAGCGUGGGGAGCAAACAGGAUUAGAUACCCUGGUAGUCCACGCCGUAAACUAUGGAUGCUAGCUGUUAGAAGUAUCGACCCUUCUAGUAGCGUAGCUAACGCGUUAAGCAUCCCGCCUGUGGAGUACGGUCGCAAGACUAAAACAUAAAGGAAUUGACGGGGACCCGCACAAGCGGUGGAGCGUGUUGUUUAAUUCGAUGGUAAGCGAAGAACCUUACCCAGGCUUGACAUCCCUUGGAAUUUCUCCGAAAGGAGAGAGUGUCUUCGGAAGCCAAGUGACAGGUGUUGCAUGGCCGUCGUCAGCUCGUGUCGUGAGAUGGAAGAA